GUCCCAACAGCCAAUGACUGCAGGCAUUUGCUGUUUGGCAUGAGACCACAAUGACGUCUGUAUUACCAGUAAAAAGGAGGAUCCAGAAGGCUCACAGAGCCAAAACAAACACUCACUGAAAACCCUGACAAACAUAGAAGUCAAUAAAAAAGAAUACGUUGGAUGAAGACAGCGCACAUCGAAUGUCCAUGUGGAAUUCAAGGAAUGGUUUAAUGUCUUAACAUUUCGCUGAUAAAAAUGGCCUUAAAAUGGCCUUUAAAAAGAUUUAGAUGAAAGGAUCAAAAAUAUGUUUCCCAACAUUUUCAACUAUUGAAAUAACAGAUAAAAGACAAAAGAUAUUCCAUUAUGGUCUUGAGGAAUGUAUUCUCCCAACCUGAUGAUCAUGUCAUUACGACACAGAGACCAAUAAAGGGAGAAAACUGCUUUAACAUGUCCUGAAAAACUUUGUUUUCUCCUAUAAUAACCAGGAGUGGAACAUUUCCCAAUAGGACUAUAGCUGCUGGGACUCUCAGCACUGUGAUUCAGCGCCGCUCUCGCCCUGUGACAUCAACGUUUUCCAUCUGUGUUACAAUGGUGUGAUGAAAUGUGUCUGCGUGACUGCUAAUCAAUUGCCAGAUUCAUUCAGGGCUUGCUGUGCAGGGGGCUGCAGUAUUUCUGGAGAUGAAUUCAAAGAGACAAAGCCGACAGAAGCUCCACUUUUGAAAAAAAAAACGAUCUAUCAUCUGUUGGCCUCCUGUCUGAACCGCACUGCUCCCGCCGUUAGAACAGAAACCUCUCAGAAUCUGGUGCUCACUUCCUCCUCUGUGUGACCUAUUAAAGUUCACAUUUUAGACAGGAAAUAUGUUUCCUUGUGAAAAAGUGUUGAGUAAUUUACACAGAGCAGACCCAAAUUGAAUCAUUCAGGAUUGCGUUCUAGAGUUUUUGUAAUCCCACCAGCAUUUUCGCCCUCAAUUGUCUUCUCGAGGCCUCAUCAUUUGUAAACUUGCACUGUCUUAGAUAGAUUUAAACUGUCAAGAAUACUCACUGUGCGAGUUCUCACUAGGGUUUAUGAGAUUGGCAUGCUAACAUUAGUAAGUCACCAACCCCAAAGUACAGGCAAUGCUGAUGGAAUCUCAUUAAUUUGAAAAAAAGUAGCUUUCUGGAUUUUUUUUUAUUUUGAUCUGGUUUUGGUUCAGGGUAUCAAUUCAAGUUAUUACAUUCACCCAGACGGAAUGCGAAUAUCUCUAGUAAAUUCAAUGGCAAUCAUAAAAAAAUGGUAGUCUCAGUUAAUAGUUAUAGUCAUAGUUUAGUCUUAUUUGGGAAAAUUGUUAGAUAUAAAAUUAGAAAAUACUUUUUAUCAACUUGCUAUAUCUGUGAUUGUUCAACGCACAAAUAUAGACUGUUGGCAAGGGUGUGUCACUUUCUAGCGGAAGUGCACUGCCUUCAUUACUUCCAAAGAAAGGUAUGACGUGUCAUUAUUUCACAAGUCAAAUGAAGUCAUGGAACCUAAUCUGCAUUCAGACGUUUUUGCUCUCUUGACCAAAGUUUUAGGAUUUAAAUAGCAACGGAUCAGUGACAGACCAUCAUUUAAAUCUGUUUUUUUGUGUUUGUUAAAUUUGAGUAUCUGACAAUGUGUUAUUUAUCUAUUUCACUCAUACGUAUUGAUGCUUUGAUUUGAGGUCAGAACUCACUCACAACUGUCUGCCACUGACCUCAGCAAUUAAACCCUCAGGAUGUUAAAAUGUGAGAGGUAAUACUGGACCUUGUUAUAGGAUAACAAAAAAGAGACAUCCUUUCAACAAAAGCAG
Long non-coding RNA from Gasterosteus aculeatus aculeatus (three-spined stickleback), 1787 nucleotides. Lineage: Eukaryota; Metazoa; Chordata; Actinopteri; Perciformes; Gasterosteidae. The record is from Ensembl.